CUCACAGUUCUGUGGACUGGGAAGUCCAAGAUCAAACCUCUGGCAGAUCUGGUAUCAGGAAUUCUGGCUAAGGACAUCACAUCAGAUAUGAAGUAACGGUUCAAAAAAUGACAAUGAGAAAGACAAACCCGCCAUGAUUGUAAAUGCCUAAGUGCUCACAUUAUCCUUCAUGAACCACACGCUUCAAGUAGUGAUCAAGCACAGACAGCCGUCCUUCUCACAGGCAAUGUGGCGUAAAGUAAGGAGUCCCAUCUUUGUGACAUGCCAUAUUUCACUGCCAGCAGGAGAGAAUUUUUUGUUGUUGCCAAAGUCAGUCAGUAGAUAAUGAUCUAGUAUCUCAAAUGUGUCAUUUUUCUGAAGCAACUAUCAUAGUUUCUAUUGGUCUGGCAAAUCAACAAUGCCUUGUUCACAUUGAAACAUUAACUGUACAAUGGAAAGAACGUGUUGUUGACAACAAUGCCACUUGUAUUAGGAUCUUGAAAACAAAACCCAAAGAGAAAGGUAUGAUAAGUGUUCUGUUCUCUGCAGUGGAGAUGAUGAUGCCCUUGUGUAAUGAUAGACUGAUGUCUCUAAGAGGAAAAUAACAAAAAUGAACUGCUUUCUAGGUCUGACAAAGGAUAGAUCACUAGAAAUAAAUUUUAAGAAUUGGUUAGGAAAAAAAAAAACUGUGGAGACCUCGUAUAUCUGCACAAAAGUCAGGUACCCUUUUGAAAAUUGGGGAAAAUGGUAAAAAACAAUUACUGUCCCAUGUGCCUAAUUGUUACCUCAAACGCUCAUUUUCUUAUAAAGAAACAUCUGUGCAUUGUCAACAACUUGUAAAAUACAGAUGGACAAAAAAAGGAUCAUUAAAUAAUCUGUUAUCCCACUGCCUACUUUUGCACCAGCAUAUCACAUUUUCUGCAAAGAAACUACUGUGAGCUUUCUAAAUUGUGAAUCUACUCAGAGCUCCCUAAUGGCUCCUGGACACACCUAAAAUAAAGUUUAAAUUUCCAUGCCAACACAGCCAGGACAACCUGGUCUCAGGCAUUCUCUCUUCUUCCUAAAUUUUCCACCAUUCUCCCGCUAGCUCCUUUUGCUCUAGCCAAGAAUUGAAUGGAGAUUUAUCAAACAUGUCAAGCACAUUCCUAGCAUGGGACAUUUUUGGCUGCUUCCUGAUUGGAAUAUUCUUCACCCAGAUACAGCCUUUGCUGUGCACAUCACUCAGAAUUCUGCCCAAACAUCGUCCCUUCAGGGGCCCUCCCUGACAACCCACCCAAAGCAACACCCCUCCCAUGACACCCUGUCCUUCACCCUGUUACUUUGUAACCACUGCACCACUUACCAACUUUGUAUUGCUGUUCACUUGUUGAUCUCCAUGUUGUAUAAAUCCACUAACAUGUAAGCUGCUUGAGGAUAGGAACUUGAUGUUUUGUACAUCAGAUGCAUCCCCAGUGCUGAUCAAGUUCUAUACCUAUUGUGUGCUUCAAACAAUAUUUAUUGAAUAAAUGAAUACCCAAGGUUAA
Molecule: long non-coding RNA, 1502 nt
Organism: Felis catus (domestic cat)
Lineage: Eukaryota; Metazoa; Chordata; Mammalia; Carnivora; Felidae
Exons: 2
Source: RefSeq, a predicted model, not a curated record